RNAcentral lists this ribosomal RNA (767 nucleotides) under uncultured bacterium. Its description in RNAcentral is "bacterial SSU rRNA". It matches the Rfam family "Bacterial small subunit ribosomal RNA", at positions 89 to 860 of the family's 1533-position model. The record is from RNAcentral.
AGUACAGCGGCGCACGGGUGAGUAACACGUGGGUAAUCUGCCCUGAAGUGGGGAAUAACACCGGGAAACCGGUGCUAAUACCGCAUACGAUCACGGAGUCUGCGGAUUUUGUGAUGAAAGGAGCAAUUCGCUUUAGGAGGAGCCCGCGGCUGAUUAGCUAGUUGGUGAGGUAAUGGCUCACCAAGGCUACGAUCAGUAUCCGGUCUGAGAGGACGGUCGGACACACUGGAACUGAGACACGGUCCAGACUCCUACGGGAGGCAGCAGUGGGGAAUUUUUCGCAAUGGGGGCAACCCUGACGAAGCAACGCCGCGUGGGUGAUGAAGUCUCUUGGGACGUAAAACCCUUUCGACGGGGAAGAAACCGCAAGGUUGACGGUACCCGUAGAAGAAGCCCCGGCUAACUCCGUGCCAGCAGCCGCGGUAAUACGGGGGGGGCAAGCGUUGUUCGGAAUUACUGGGCGUAAAGGGUGCGUAGGCGGUUCGUUAAGUUAGAUGUGAAAACUCUGGGCUCAACCCAGAGCCUGCAUCUAAAACUGGCGGGCCAGAGUUCUGGAGGGGGUAGCGGAAUUCCUGGUGUAGCGGUGAAAUGCGUAGAUAUCAGGAGGAACACCGGUGGGCGAGGCGGCUACCUGGACAGAAGCUGACGCUGAGGCACGAAAGCUAGGGGAGCAAACAGGAUUAGAUACCCCUGGUAGUCCUAGCCCUAACGAUGGGAUACUUGGUGGUGACCGGGAUUUGAAUCCGGUCGUGCCGAAGCUAACGCAU